GCCUGGCUAGCUCAAUCGGUAGAGCGUGAGACUCUUAAUCUCAAGGUUGCGGGUAAGUUAAGACUGCGUCUAACAUGCAAUGCAUAUUCCGUAUAUACUAACACCUCUGCGAAGGUUCGACCCCCGCGUUGGGCU
Non-coding RNA from Whalleya microplaca, 135 nucleotides. The record is from the annotation of a GenBank genome assembly. NCBI's taxonomy places the organism in Eukaryota, Fungi, Ascomycota, Sordariomycetes, Xylariales, Xylariaceae.